RNAcentral lists this ribosomal RNA (433 nucleotides) under uncultured bacterium. Its description in RNAcentral is "partial 16S ribosomal RNA". It matches the Rfam family "Bacterial small subunit ribosomal RNA", at positions 29 to 507 of the family's 1533-position model. The record is from RNAcentral.
AACGAACGCUGGCGGCAUGCCUAACACAUGCAAGUCGAACGAGACCUUCGGGUCUAGUGGCGCACGGGUGCGUAACGCGUGGGAACCUGCCCUUAGGUUCGGAAUAACUCCCCGAAAGGGGUGCUAAUACCGGGUAAUGUCUUCGGACCAAAGAUUUAUCGCCUUUGGAUGGGCCCGCGUUGGAUUAGCUAGUUGGUAGGGUAAAAGCCUACCAAGGCGACGAUCCAUAGCUGGUCUGAGAGGAUGAUCAGCCACACUGGGACUGAGACACGGCCCAGACUCCUACGGGAGGCAGCAGUGGGGAAUAUUGGACAAUGGGCGAAAGCCUGAUCCAGCAAUGCCGCGUGAGUGAUGAAGGCCUUAGGGUUGUAAAGCUCUUUUACCCGGGAUGAUAAUGACAGUACCGGGAGAAUAAGCGCCGGCUAACUCCGUG